AUUUAAAUAAUUUAAUUAAAAUAUUGAUUUGUGGAGUCAAAAAUAUGAAAAAAUCAUUUUAAGUU
RNAcentral lists this transfer RNA (65 nucleotides) under Callambulyx tatarinovii. Its description in RNAcentral is "tRNA-His". Lineage: Eukaryota; Metazoa; Arthropoda; Insecta; Lepidoptera; Sphingidae. The record is from RNAcentral.